This is a long non-coding RNA of Pseudophryne corroboree (corroboree frog), 2589 nucleotides long. RefSeq lists it as uncharacterized. The transcript has 3 exons. Lineage: Eukaryota; Metazoa; Chordata; Amphibia; Anura; Myobatrachidae. The record is from RefSeq and is a predicted model, not a curated record.
CAGAGCAUUUUGUACCUAGUAGUGGGGCGGGUCAUGUUUGGAGGGUCUGAGCCUAACGAACAUGAGGAAUCCCCGCCACAAUGACUGCACUGUAGUCAGUCACAUGACCUGGUGACGUUGUCAGGGGAACUCGCGGCGGGAACACGGCUCUGCUCUCUGUGCUUAUGGGGAACGAAAGACACACUACGGAGCGAUCACGUGUCACCGCCCAGUCUCCUCCCCCGAGUGAACCCGCUGAUUGUGGCGUGGAGUGCUCGUGCACGGGACCAGCGGGAAAAAUCAGAAGCGCCGCGGUCGCUGAGUGUCCGGCAGACAGUGAGAGUUUUGCUGAAAGCUGCGAUCCGUGAGAGACCUGAGAAGAUCAGGACAAUUGAGCAAGAUACCCACUAAGAAUAUUAGAAGAUGUUAUGGAAAGGGACAUUGUUCUCUGAUCAAGCCAACUAAAGACGUCAUUUCUUCCUACACUUCUGGAGGAUUCACAAAAGAUGCUCUCAUUUUCUGGAUAGAAGAAACUUUCUACAAAUAUUUUUCUUUCCAUCUAAUACAUGAUGAGUCUCACAGGAGCGAAACUACAUGUGUGCUCUGAGUGUGACAAAAGCUUUACAUAUAAAUCAAGGCUUCUUAAUCACCAGAGGAAUCAUACACGCAAGAAGCCAUUCACAUGUUCUGAGUGCAGCAAAUGUUUUCCCAUUAAGUCACUUCUUGUUCUACAUCAGAGGAGUCACACUGGAGAGAAGCCAUAUGUGUGCUCUGAGUGUGACAAAAGCUUUACACAUAAAUCAUAUCUUCUCAGACAUUACAGUAUUCACACAGGAGAGAAACCAUUUACAUGUUCUGAGUGCAGCAAGUCUUUUACUCGAACAGCAACUCUUUAUAUUCAUCAAAGGAGUCACACAGGAGAGAAACCAUUUACAUGUUCUGAAUGUAGCAUGUGUUUUACCUCCAAGCCAUAUCUUCUUAGACAUCAGAUGACUCACACAGGAGCGAAACCAUUUAAAUGCUCUGAAUGUAGCAAAUAUUUUUCCCAUAAGGCUCCUCUUAUUAAACACCAGAGGAUUCACACAGGAGAGAAGCCAUUUAAAUGUUCUGAAUGCAGCGAUUGUUUUACCAAUAAAUCGCAUCUUGUUAGUCAUCAGAUGACUCACACAGGAGAGAAACCAUUUAAAUGCUCUGAAUGUAGCAAGUGUUUUUCCCGUCCGUUUCAUCUCAAUAGACAUCAGAGGAUUCACACAGGAUAGAAACCAUUUCAUUACUUUGAAUGUAGAAAGUGUUUUACCAAUAAAAUCACAUCUUGUUCUACAUCAGAGGAGUCACACAGGAGAGAAACCAUUUACAUGUUCUGAAUGUAGCAAGUGUUUUUCCCGUAUGUUUCAUCUCUUUAGACAUAACGAGUCAUGGGAGUAAAAAUGUUGAAAUAGAAAGCCAGUACUUAUCAGAUGAGGAGUCUUUCUGAAAUACUGAAUGUUUUAUGCGUUUCAUAAGUCUGCUAACUUGUAUCAUGACAAUAUGUAUUCCAGGGAAGCAAUAUUUGUUUUCUGAAUAUGGCAAGUGUUUAUAUAAUCAGUUUUGAUAAAGACAGGAGAGGUCUGACAACUGGGCUUGAGGGCAUUUUCCCUCUGGGACAGUCUCAUUAUUAGGAGCUAGAAUUGCAGUAUAACAGACAAUAGUGAUGGCGGUGUUAUUACUGAGAUCUGUAAUCUACAGCUGUACUGCUCACCCAGGUGCUGGGACUAGCAGAUGGAAGCUUCCUAUCCAGUAGUGAAUACCAGGAGCUUCUCUAAGUACUGAGAUUCCUUCGAUGACGGGCAGAGCUUUAAGUCCUGUAUAUUUCUACAGGAACUCUGCACACUGGCAUGUUUUAUCUUACAGGUCUCAUCUGGGGGUAUGUUUACUAAAAUGGGAGUUCUAUUUAAGAUGGGAUGUUGCCCAUAGCAACCAGUCAGAUUCCAGGUGUUAUCUUCUAGAAGGUGCUAAAUAAAUUAGAAGUAAAAUCUGAUUGGUUGCUACGGGCAACAUCCCAUUUUAAAUAGAACGCCCAUCUUAGUAAAUUUACCCCCUGGUCUCUGAUACCUCAUUUUUCUUUCCCUUAUACCUUUCUCUUACCUUAUCUCCCUCUAUUUAAAAAAAAAAAAAAAAUGAUAUUGCAGAAUGGUGCAAUAAAGAAACUGGUCACCUGUUUCCCAUAAUAACUUAUCCUUAUAACCUAUUUUAGCUUGCUGCCAGUAGCCUGCUAAUAGCUGAUAUCUGGUUACUAUGGGUUGUAGCACAUUCUUGUUUUUCACACCAUGCUAUUAAAUAAGUCCCUAGUAGACCAAAUUGUGCACCAGGCUAAUAUUAAAUAUCUUUCAUAAUACAUUCUUUUAAACUAUUAUCUCAUAAAAAGUAUACAUAAUACUAUGAUAUAGUACAUAAUGAUCUGUCCUGCUCGUAGACUAAAGGACAUGUUCAAAUAAUAGCUGUAGUAACCAUAUAUGUUGCUAGCAGCUGUCCUCAUAACACUUGAUGAAUAAAAACUGAUCUGGAUUAAUGUUUUCAUUUUUAAAUUGUAAAACUAAGGUUAUUCUUUAAUAUUAAAUAAUUUUGUACAUA